RNAcentral lists this long non-coding RNA (4757 nucleotides) under Homo sapiens (human). RNAcentral's name for it is "long non-coding RNA NONHSAT217620.1". Lineage: Eukaryota; Metazoa; Chordata; Mammalia; Primates; Hominidae. The record is from RNAcentral.
UCUUUAUAUGACUGAAGUGGGUGAGCAGCACCAAAUGAGGCCAUCGCGGUCGCUGAGCGGAGGGAGUGUUUAUAGCCUAACUUUGGCGAGGCAACAAGCCCCCAGGAGUGCCUUCAUUUCAGCACCCCCGGCCCUCCCCAAAGCCAGCUCGUUCUAUUUGGAGACUGUUGCUGCCUUACCAGCCCCAAGGUGAAGCCUACAUGGUGAGAAACUGAGGCCUCCAGCCAGCAGCCAGGUUAAUGGGUUUGAAAGCAAAUCCUCCAGCCCAAUCCAGCCUUCAGAUGACUGCAGCCCUAGGUGACAAUGUGACAGAGGACUCAGGAGGAACCCUAAGCCAGAACCACCCUCUCAUCCAUGCUUAGACUCCUGAUCCUUGGAACAUAUUUAUUCAGAGCUGUACAUGAAGAGAAGUCCCACAGGGACCCUGGGAUCAGAAGAACUCUGGGAAAUGCCUGGCCCAGCCAGUGCUGUUCUAAAGAUCCUCAUCCUCAUGGAGAUAACCAUUUUUAAGGAAGAAAAGAGGAUCUGGACCCUACCCAUCUCAGUCUCCAUCAGAUCUUAUGGAUGCUCCAGGAAUUGGCCAUGAUUCUCCUCUUUUCUACCAUCUUGUAUGUUGGGCUUUGUAGAGGAUAGAUGUUUUCUAGAAGAAUGGCAGAUAAGGCAAGGUCUGCAGCUUGCCAUUGAUAGUGUCUUUAUCAACAGAUCUGUGAGGAAUUGUGCAGCUGAGAGGGGAGAAGAGAAAUCAGAGAGUGGAUGGACUGCCACAGUUCAACAUAUACUGGUGCUUUCAAUAUAGAAUCCACAAGGCAACCUGCAUGCUGGGCUCUGUGCUAGGCACUAGGGGUAUAUCUAUGAGAUGCCACCCCAGCUCCCACAGUCUUACAAUCUAAUGGGGAAGAGAGAUAUGUCAAUAGACAAACGCAGCAGAUGGCAAGUGCUGGGAUAUGAAACAGUAAGCAGAAGCCACAGUGUUCUCUGGGACUUCUGAGCUGAGUCCCAAAGUAAUUAGAUUAAUCCGUCAUGGGAGGUGGAGUGGGUAGGGGGAGCUCCUGGAAGCAUGAUCAAAAGUGGAGAGCUAAGGUGAGGGAGAAGAAAGAAAUGAGAUUCAGCAAAGAGGAGGAGAGCAAUGAAGGGCCAUGUAUGACCAGGCGAAGGCAAAUUGUUCGGACCAAACAUGACAGUAGGGUGGGUUUUUGAGGGGUAUCCACUGCACUUACAGAGGCAAGAUUCUCUAUGGUGACCUUUCAGUGAGGGUGGGCAAAUACACUACUUUUUGAGUCAGCCAUUUUUCACUACUGAGCACCUCUGGCCUUAGCAAGUUCUGAGCAUGAAUACUUUCUUCUGUUUCUAAGCCAUUCAACAAAUAUCAAAGUGCUUUCCCAUGUAUUGGUCAUCUUAGGCAAACUGGGUGGACAUGUAGAGCAAGACGUAAUGAGGUAAGCACUCACUAGAGCUAGGUCAUCUUAGAAAAGUCACUUAGCUUCACUGAGCCUCAGUCUUCCUAUCUGUGAAAUGGGGAUAAUGACCCUUAUGUCACCUGGUGGGCAAGGUCUAAAUAAAAUCAUUGUAGUUAGAUCCAUAGUAGGUUCUUUCUGACCUACCACUGUGCACCUCACGCCGUUGCUAUUCCAGUGGGAUAUAUCCAGUGGGGUUACGGGUAUGACAUUUCGGAACCCCACCAUCACUUGUAUCAGCAGGUCUGUCCUAGGUUCCCCAACUAAGCUUCCUGGAUGAGGCACCUAGUGGCGUCCCCUAGUUUGAGUGUGGGGGGUUUGGUAAACUAGUCCUUAUGUAUGCUUGUCAGAUGGAGGGUACUGUCUUUAAGAUGGGCUCAUAGCUGAAUCUGGAAGGUAAGUGCUCCAGGCCAGUAUUGUUUUCUGCAGGAUUCAAAGUUCCCUUGCUAUUUCUGCUGACUUUGCUUCCCCUCUCGUGUUCUAUAUCCCAAACCUAUUAUCUUCACCAGCGUUAAUUUGCCUCCACAACUCUGUUUUUGCAUUUUGAAAUGGAAUUUCCCUUAACCUAUAUUCCUCUGGUUCCCAAACUCCACCUGCUUCAGUUUUUUUUUCAAUAUCAUCUACAUUUCCUUCACUAGAUUAUAGCCUUAGUCAUUUGUACCCUUAGAAUGAAUAUUUUUUUCUGUCAUAUCUUUGUUUGAACCUUUUCACAUUUGACUUCAGACAUUACCCAUCUCCUUCAUCUGACCACUUUCUUCACUUUUCUCAUCUUUCCAUUUUGGUUGUAUGUCUACUGAGCAAGGGGCUCUGUGCAGAGCAUUCAAAGAUGACUGAGAUGUAGUCUUGUGGGUAGAGAGAGACAAUUAGAAUGCACCGUGGAGAGUGUUAGGUUGAGGGAAGCGGAGAUUACAGGAGUCCAAAUGUCUUAUCCGAGGAUAUGGGAUAGGCUUGAGAGAAGAUGCUGAGCUCAUGUAGGUGAGGUAUUGUCCUACGUGAAGGAAAAGAGGCAGGAGAUGGCAGCUUGGAGGCUAUAUUACUUUCUCUGGGGCUGCCAUACCAAAGUACCACAAACUGGGUGGCUUAAAACAUCAAAAAUGUAUUUUCUCACAGUUCUAGAAGGUAGAAGCCCAAAAUCAAGAUGUUGGCCCUACAGCUGUGCUCCUUCUGAAGGCUUUGGGGUGAAUGUGUUUAAUGCCCUUUUCUUAGCUUCUGCCCUUUUCUUUUCUGGCCUUCACAGAAGGCCAAAGAGCAAUCCUUGGCCUUCCUUGGCUUGUGGAUGCAUCGUUUCAGUCUCUGCCUCUGUUUUCACAUGGCCCUCUUCCCUGUGUAUCUGUCUCUACGCUGCUUCUCAUCUUAUAAGGACACAAGUCAGAUUGGAAUAAAGCCUAUUCUAAUUCAGUAUAAUCACAUCUUAACUUGAUUAUGUAUGCAAAGACCAUAUUUCCAAAUAAGGUCACAUUUUCAGGUCCUCGGGGUUAGAGCUUUCACAUGUCUUUUUGGGGGACAUAGUUCAACUCAUAAUAGAAACCUCGCAGAUAAAUCAUUUUGGCCGGUGCACAGAGUUAAGUGGUGGAUUAUCAAGAAUAUGGAAUUUUAGAAUUUUAGCUUCUUGGUUGAUUUUUGGGAAUUAACAUACAGGAGAGCAGGUUUAGAAGUAACAAUAACACUUUGAGAGGCCGAGGUGGGCAGAUCAUGAGGUCAGGAGAUCGAGACCAUCCUGGCUAACAUGGUGAAACCCCGUCUCCACUAAAAAUACAAAAAUUAGCCGGGCAUGGUGGCAGGUGCCUGUAGUCCCAGCUACUCAGAAGGCUGAGGCAGCAGAAUGGCAUGAACCCGGGAGGCGGAGGUUGCAGUGAGCCGAGAUCGUGCCACUGCACUCCAGCUGGGGAGACAGAGUGAGACUCUGUCUCAUAAAAAAAAGAAGUGACAAUAACAAUAACAGAGGCUGGUCUUCUGGGAAUGAUGCGAUACUCUUCAGCCAGCCUUUCUGUUUUGAGCGAAGCCCCAACCUGGAGUUCAAAGAGAGUGAGGGCGCUUCCUGUCUUCUUGUCUUUCUCCUCUCUCCUGCUACUUGUUAUGAAAUUCAGAACAAUUAGAGAUUUUCUGUCUCAUCCCUGGAAUGGUGUUUCUCCUGCUGGCCCUAUCAGGCUGGUGUGUUGAUGUUAUCGGGGAGAGGCUGUAGUUACUAGGAUGAAGAAGGCAAGAGAGAAAUGGAAUUCACGCAGAUCAAACAUGUGUAAUCAGAAGACAUUACUGAGGCUUGAUGAUGCUGUUCAGGGUGUAUUUCCCUUGAAACGCUUCUUAAAAGACAGCAGCUUAAACAAAUGGGCAAGAUGAGAUUCACAGAGGUAACAUUUCAGAGAGAAUGUAGGUACAGCUAAGCAGAGCUAAGCAGUGACAGAAGGAGAAAGUGUGUCUGAAGAAAAAUCUUCAUUACAGAUUUGAAAGAAAAAAAACCCAUCAAAUCCCUCUGCCUUGUGGGUCUCACAGGAGGCAAACUUUCUUUACAAACUGUGUGUUUGUGUUUUGAGUGACUAAGAGUUCAGGGACAAGUUCAAACACACCUAAGUUCAAUUUAAAAGUAAAUGAGAUGACAUUGGAGGAAAUUUAUAAUAAAAUGUCACUCUUUACCUAACACCAUUUUCUCUGGAAUUCAAAAUAUCCAUUGUUUAAAAGUGACACAGUAACUACCAUCUAGUUUGCUGAAUGACCUUCUUUAUAGCGUCAUGGUAUUAGAAAUGGCUUCAGAAGGAAUCACUCAACUGCAUUUAUCUGGCAGGAGAAAAAUGCAGGUAGUAUUUAUUUUGGGGUGUGGUAGGGGAUGUCCCCUAGCAAGGAUCCUAGAAGUCAGUGUCAGGUAUGAGAACAAGAAACAUUCAUUUAUUGCAUGCAUACUCAUUGAGUCCCUACUAUGUAUUGGUAUUAUGUGGCAGUAUGAAUAUUCUCAUUUGUUAAAUAAAGAUACUUGAGUCUGCUUUCAGUGUUGUGGGUUUUGUUAUUAAGAGUAAUACAGUCAUGUGUUGCUUGAUCAUGGGGACUUGUUCUGAGAAAUGUGUUGUCAAGCAAUUCUGUCUUUGUGGGAACCUCGUAGAGAGUAGGGUACUUACAAAAACCUAGAUGGGAUAGCUUAAUACGCACCUAGGCUGUAGGGUAAAGCCCAUUGCUCCCAGGCUACAAACCUGUAGAGCAUGUUACUGACUGAAUACUGUAGGCAGUUGUAACAAAUCACUAGGCAACAGAAACUUUGCAGCUCUGUUAUUAUCUUAUGGCACCACUGUUGUGUAUGCAGUCUGUUGACCAAAA